This 86-nucleotide transfer RNA is filed under the name Actibacterium atlanticum. RNAcentral's name for it is "tRNA-Leu". It matches the Rfam family "tRNA". From Rfam's summary of the family: Transfer RNA (tRNA) molecules are approximately 80 nucleotides in length. Their secondary structure includes four short double-helical elements and three loops (D, anti-codon, and T loops). Further hydrogen bonds mediate the characteristic L-shaped molecular structure. tRNAs have two regions of fundamental functional importance: the anti-codon, which is responsible for specific mRNA codon recognition, and the 3' end, to which the tRNAs corresponding amino acid is attached (by aminoacyl-tRNA synthetases). tRNAs cope with the degeneracy of the genetic code in two manners: having more than one tRNA (with a specific anti-codon) for a particular amino acid; and 'wobble' base-pairing, i.e. permitting non-standard base-pairing at the 3rd anti-codon position. The record is from RNAcentral. Lineage: Bacteria; Pseudomonadati; Pseudomonadota; Alphaproteobacteria; Rhodobacterales; Roseobacteraceae.
GCCCGAGUGGCGGAAUGGUAGACGCAGGGGAUUCAAAAUCCCCCGCCUUCACGGGCGUGUGGGUUCGACUCCCACCUCGGGCACCA